This 1466-nucleotide long non-coding RNA is filed under the name Ananas comosus (pineapple). RNAcentral describes it as "long non-coding RNA (ACOM_LNC005721)". The record is from RNAcentral. Lineage: Eukaryota; Viridiplantae; Streptophyta; Magnoliopsida; Poales; Bromeliaceae.
UACCAUGGAACCUAGUAGAAAAGCUAUAUGCGUUUUAUGCAAUUUGUAUAGAAUCAGGCUAUGUGAAACUUAAGCUUCAAAAUGCACUUUUGUAGGAUUGGAGGCCUAGUUUGAAAUUGGUCGCUUGAAACCCUAAUUGGGGAUAAAACUAACGCAUUGGAAAGCUCAAAUCGGCGUUCCGAUGAGCCUACGGCAAGCUAGUGAGGAAAAAUCUCAUUUUAGCUUCGUUUGUCGCGAGCGAGGGUCGUGAUUGUUUAGAAAUCGCGAGAAGUAGUUUUCUCGCUUCUCGGCAUUAUUUAAAGGUGGGUGGUGCUUUCCGAAGUCAUCGAAUGACAUAUUAUGUUUAUGUCAAUUUUAUUGAGCAUACAUGGAUUAUACAUAUUUAGUUGAUAUUCAUACAUAAUAGGGUUGUGAUUGUCAUAUGGUAAAGUGUAAUAUGUGUUCUAUUUGUAUGAUUUGGAAGCAAAGUACAGUUGGACAAUGGUUAGUAAAUAUAGAACUCUAUAGGUGUAUGAACUUGUGUUUGACUAUGAAAUAGUUGACAAAGUAACAUUGUGAAUAGAUUGCAUGAGUGGCACCUAGUAUUGUGAAUGUCAAACAAGGAGAAUGAACUGGUAAAAUGUGUGGCAUUAGAACUAGAUGAACUUAUUAGCAUCUGGAGUUGGACAUGUAAAUCUAGCAUAAAGAGCUAGUUAAAGUGUGGCAUUAUCAGUGCAUCCUCUAAGGGAGGAUUAGAUCAUACUCACAUUAGUCUAAUGCUCGAGAUAAGGUCGCUCCUCCUUGGGCGAUGAGCUCUGGAGUGUGUCAUCAACUGGGUUGAUCGUAUAAGCCUUCCUAGUAGACGGUCCCGUCGGGAGGCAGCUUACGGCCCGACAAAAGGGAUUGAGUUGGUGAGUUAUAGUUAACCAAAUGGUUAACCAGAUUGAUUGAGUAAUGAUUAUUAAUAGCAUGCACGCAUAACUUUCAUCUGUUAUAUAUAUUGUUCCUUUCAGCUUUGUACAGGCAUUGUAGUAGUUACAUGUUAUAAUUGAUUACUAUCUGUUCUUUUCUUUACCUACAUAUGCAUAAAUAAACCUAGUGGGUGAAUCGGUAAGGUCGGCAGCCGAACCCACUGGAAACUUUCAAUAGUUCUCACCCCACUAACCAUGCAGGUUCUUGUUCGUGCGGGGUGGUUGAGGAUCGUGACUUGGACAGCGCUCCAUAAAUAGCUGACAUCUAUUGAGUAUAGUUGUACCUUGUACAUUUCAUCUAUUUAUAGUUGAUGAAAGCAAAUGUAAAUUGUUUAUUUGAGAGAUGGCAAUGUAUCUAUGUUAAAGAAUGUAUUAAAGAAUAUGUGUAAGUAGAUGGUAAGCUUUGUAUUUGAUUUAAAGUAAUCAAGAUACAAUGUAGGAAUGUUUUAGUUAUUUACUUUCACUUGUUUGUGUUGCUUACCCUCGUGUAGGCCAUGUAUAUUGAAAUUUUUUCUU